Molecule: small nucleolar RNA, 75 nt
Organism: Prunus persica (peach)
Lineage: Eukaryota; Viridiplantae; Streptophyta; Magnoliopsida; Rosales; Rosaceae
Rfam family: small nucleolar RNA snoR117
Source: Rfam
GGCCUGUGAUGUUUUGAUAUUGUCCGUACCAUCUGAGAAAAUCUUUGAUGUUUCUAUCACUAGCUUCUGAGGCCU